UGGCCAGAGGUGUCAGUCUUCAGCCGUCACCAAACAACACCUGUCUACCUUCUACUGCUAUUGAGUUUCAGCACACUACCUGCUUCAGGGGAAAAUGUUUCUAAGACUGUUCCAACACUACUUCCAACCCCUGCUGCUGCUGCUGUAUCUUCAACCCUCUGCACAAAGUGGUGAAGUAUACACAGAGUCACAGAAGAGCACAACAACGGGACCAUCUGUUAACUACGUCAUUAGUUCCAUCUUCGGGAACUUCUUCGUGAAGAACAACUUGAGUUUAAAGGACGAAGACGUCUUCACAAAGGUCCUCGCCAAGUCCCUGUGCGAGUGUCGUACAGCGUGUUGGGCGACCAAUGUGUGCCAGGCGGCGGCAUUGGUGCCAGUAGAGGACCACAAGGAGUGCCAUCUGGCUAAAGAGGGGCCACACAAAACCACCACCCAGUACCUGCAGGGAGCCAUCUAUCUCUUCAAGGAGGAUUCCCUCCCGGGGCAUUAUCACGGACUGAUGAAGGACAAUUUGACGUACUACGAGCCUCCGGAGAUGAUGGAGCUGGAGGAAGGCAAAAAGUGGUGUAACAGGAUCCCCGGACACCGCCUCGUCAUCAUCAAGACCAAUGACCAACUCAAAACUCUGCAGGAAAUCUCUCUGAAGACCCUAGGCGACACCCCUACCCCCAAGCUCAUAUGGAUGAACCUGAAGAAGCCGCUGCAGUCUAACGAGAAGAUAUGGGGUGACGGGACCCUGGUAAAGAUAACUGAGGUGUGGCCGUCCCUCGUGUUUGGUGAUGCUUUACAGACAAACGUAGAUGAUGUGGAGGAGUUCUUCAAGUUCGACGAGAACACCUUCAAAAGUAGUUCACCUUCUACACAGAUGAGGAUCCUGUGUCAGGCUAACCCAGUGGGGGUAUACUGGUAAACCUAACACUCUAGAUUGGUGAAUAAUGUAAACCUAACACUCUAGAUUGGUGAAUAAUGUAAACCUAACACUCUAGAUUGGUGAAUAAUGUAAACCUAACACUCUAGAUUGGUGAAUAAUGUAAACCUAACACUCUAGAUUGGUGAAUAAUGUAAACCUAACACUCUAGAUUGGUGAAUAAUGUAAACCUAAUACUCUAGAUUGGUGAAUAAUGUAAACCUAACACUCUUGAUUGGUGAAUAAUGUAAACCUCACACUCUAGAUUGGUGAAUAAUAGAAACCUAACACUCUAGAUUGGUAAAUAAUGUAAACCUCACACUCUAGAUUGGUGAAUAAUGUAAACCUAACACUCUAGAUUGGUGAAUAAUGUAAACCUAACACUCUAGAUUGGUGAAUAAUGUAAACCUAACACUCUAGAUUGGUGAAUAAUGUAAACCUAACACUCUAGCUUGGUGAAUAAUGUAAACCCCACACUCUAGACUGGUGAAUAAUGUAAACCCCACACUCUAGACUGGUGAAUAAUGUAAACCCCACACUCUAGACUGGUGAAUAAUGUAAACCUAACACUCUAGACUGGUGAAUAAUGUAAACCCCACACUCUAGACUGGUGAAUAAUGUAAACCUCACACUCUACACUGGUGUAUAAUGUAAACCCCACACUCUACACUGGUGAAUAAUGUAAACCCCACACUCUACACUGGUGAAUAAUGUAAACCCCACACUCUAGACUGGUUAAUAAUGUAAACCUAACACUCUAGACUGGUGAAUAAUGUAAACCUAACACUCUAGACUGAUGAAUAAUGUAAACCCCACACUCUACACUGGUGAAUAAUGUAAACCCCACACUCUACACUGGUGAAUAAUGUAAACCCCACACUCUAGACUGGUGAAUAAUGUAAACUUAACACUCUAGACUGGUGAAUAAUGUAAAUCUAACACUCUAGACUGGUGAAUAAUGUAAGCCUAACACUCUAGACUGAUGAAUAAUGUAAACCCCACACUCUAGACUGGUGAAUAAUGUAAACCUAACACUCUAGACCG
This is an RNA transcript of Homarus americanus (American lobster), 1954 nucleotides long. RefSeq lists it as uncharacterized. The record is from RefSeq and is a predicted model, not a curated record. NCBI's taxonomy places the organism in Eukaryota, Metazoa, Arthropoda, Malacostraca, Decapoda, Nephropidae. The transcript is spliced from 5 exons.